CCAGCCCCUAAGCUGUUUGCCGCUACAGCAGUUUAAACAGAGGGGCUGACAGCAAGGGGAUUGUGUCACCUCUGGAGGCUGUGGCUAUGUGCCUUGAAGAAAGUUGGGAGGUUCUACACCC
Artibeus jamaicensis (Jamaican fruit-eating bat) is the source of this 121-nucleotide small nucleolar RNA. RefSeq annotates it as small nucleolar RNA SNORA68. The record is from RefSeq and is a predicted model, not a curated record. NCBI's taxonomy places the organism in Eukaryota, Metazoa, Chordata, Mammalia, Chiroptera, Phyllostomidae. The transcript has a single exon.